This 1711-nucleotide long non-coding RNA is filed under the name Carica papaya (papaya). RNAcentral's name for it is "long non-coding RNA (CPAP_LNC016614)". Lineage: Eukaryota; Viridiplantae; Streptophyta; Magnoliopsida; Brassicales; Caricaceae. The record is from RNAcentral.
AUUGAUUGGAGGUAAAUUACUAACUGACCAAAUAUCCCCAAUAAUGUUUAUUGUUGAAGAUAGUGAUAUUAGAGCAUUAAGAAUCUAAGUAUUUGCAAAAACACUGGUAGGAGAAGUAAGAGGCUAAAAGUUGUCUCAAUUCGGAAAAAUAUCCUCUAUGAUGAAAACUAGAAUAAUAUCCAUAUGAUAAGUAAAUCAAGUAAAUAGGUUGCUCAAAGCUCUCUAAAAUGAAAGAAUGGUAUAGACCUCUAAACUCUCUAUAUGUGAUGAUUUUGAUGCAGAUCGCGACAUAAUCAACAAUAACAAACUCUUUGGUCCUUUAUUUCACAACAUAACAAAUUUAUAACUUAUAUUACUAAUUGCAUCGCACAUUUAAUAUCCCUAUGCAAAUUGAAAAUUAGUUGGGUGAUGGGAUAUGGUUGGUUAAGAAAGAUAAGAAUCAUCAUAUAUAACUAUGAAGAAAAACAUGUCUAUAAGUAAACAUUGAUGAAGACAACUUGAAAGACAUGAUUAAACAAUGGACUAGAUACCAUACUUGCUAUAAGCAAAUCUGAUGGUAGCAAAAGCUUAAGCCCAAAUAUCAUGUAUUGGUUCAAAAGUGCAUCUAAACAAGUCCUCAAACUACCUCUUUGAACAAAUUAUCACAUCACUAAAAAGAAAUGGUUGGGAACGUAUCAACAUUGUCCAAGGCUAGACACUUCGUAAGGUGAAGUUGUUGGCCUCAAGGAUGAGAGAAGGUUCUUAUCAUUCCAACCCUUUAGAAUAUUACAGUAAUUAUCUGAUUACAUAAGAGGACUCUUCUAAAACCCACUUACUUGAGGGGUUUUAUUCUACUUAGGAGAAUUUUCUCUCACCAAAGGUUGUUCUCCUCUUUGAGGGAUUUUUUUCUUACUUUGGGAAAUCUUCCUCUUUUAACACUAUUUCCCAACUCGAGGGAAAUUAAUGGCCUUUCCCAAAAAUUUAUUCACUUAUUCCUAGUAAGUAAUCUCUUUUAGUAGUAUUUAAGAUUUUUAUGCUUUCAUAUAAUACGAUAUAUUACAGUUGUUGCUUAUUCGCCAUCUCCAAUUAGCUUCGGAGUGAAGCUGUAAUAUACCACCUAUCACUGUACUAAAAUGCUUUAGAAACUCAAAUUAUUUGCGUGCACAGUGGCGGCGGGGUGUGUACACAGCACUCAUGACCCAUCCGCAUGCACACACGCACUGGACGUGCGCACAACGUGCACGUUCCAUCUGCGCUCAUGGCGAGGGGUUGGGACCUGCGAGCACGUCCUGUCGAGUGCAGGCUGGUCGUCCGCGCAUCACUCCACCGCACAGACUAGCACCGCACACUGUGCAUGCACCGUUUGUACAACAGGCCUACGCAGAUAGGCCCUGUGUGCCUAGGGCCUGCGCACAGUAGGCCUGUGCGCGUGGCACCCAAUACACCAAGGCCCUAUGCGCGCAUAGGCUAGCCCAUGCAUGCGCAGCAGGCAUGUGCACCUGCAGUGCAUUGGCCAGACACUGCCUUGAGCGGCGCGCUGUCCCUGUCGGUGGAGGAAAUUUUCCUCCCUCAUUUUUUAUGCCAAAAAUCUUUCCCUAUCUCUCUUCAUCUAAUUUUACAACUUGGCACGAAUCCAACGGUUCGAAUAUUCUAUAAAUUGCCUUCUUCUUCCCUUCCUCUCCACAGUUCAAUUUUUUCCAUUUCUCAAAGGUUUAGAGAGAGAAAGAAAGAG